GACGUAGGGGGCCAGCGUUGUUCGGAAUUACUGGGUGUAAAGGGUUCGUAGGCGGUGUGGCAAGUCGGGUGUGAAAGCCCCGGGCUCAACCUGGGAAUUGCAUUCGAGACUGAAUAGCUAGGGUACGGUAGAGGGAAGUGGAAUUUCCGGUGUAGCGGUGAAAUGCGUAGAUAUCGGAAGGAACAUCAGUGGCGAAGGCGGUUCUCUGGGACGGUACUGACGCUGAGACGCGAAAGCGUGGGGAGCGAACAGG
Molecule: ribosomal RNA, 253 nt
Filed under: uncultured bacterium
Lineage: Bacteria
Description: partial 16S ribosomal RNA
Rfam family: Bacterial small subunit ribosomal RNA
Source: RNAcentral